This 406-nucleotide ribosomal RNA is filed under the name uncultured bacterium. Its description in RNAcentral is "partial 16S ribosomal RNA". It matches the Rfam family "Bacterial small subunit ribosomal RNA", at positions 30 to 526 of the family's 1533-position model. The record is from RNAcentral.
AUUGAACGCUGGCGGCAGGCCUAACACAUGCAAGUCGAACGAGUGGCGGACGGGUGAGUAAUGUCUGGGAAACUGCCUGAUGGAGGGGGAUAACUACUGGAAACGGUAGCUAAUACCGCAUACCAUCGGAUGUGCCCAGGGUGGUUUAGCUAGUAGGUGGGGUAAAGGCUAACCUAGGCGACGAUCCCUAGCUGGUCUGAGAGGAUGACCAGCCACACUGGAACUGUGACACGGGCCAAACGCCUACGGGAGGCAGCAGUGGGGAAUAUUGCACAAUGGGGGCAAGCCUGAUGCGGCAAUGCCGCUGGUAUGAAGAAGGCCGUCGGUUGGUAAGGUACUUUCUUCGGGGAGGCGUUACCCGCAGAGGAAGCGCCGGCUAACUCCGUGCCAGCAGCCGCGGUAAUUC